This 497-nucleotide ribosomal RNA is filed under the name uncultured bacterium. RNAcentral's name for it is "partial 16S ribosomal RNA". It matches the Rfam family "Bacterial small subunit ribosomal RNA", at positions 28 to 507 of the family's 1533-position model. The record is from RNAcentral.
GAUGAACGCUGGCGGCGUGCCUAAUACAUGCAAGUCGAGCGAACGGACGAGAAGCUUGCUUUUCUGAUGUUAGCGGCGGACGGGUGAGUAACACGUGGAUAACCUACCUAUAAGACUGGGAUAACUUCGGGAAACCGGAGCUAAUACCGGAUAAUAUUUUGAACCGCAUGGUUCAAAAGUGAAAGACGGUCUUGCUGUCACUUAUAGAUGGAUCCGCGCUGCAUUAGCUAGUUGGUAAGGUAACGGCUUACCAAGGCAACGAUGCAUAGCCGACCUGAGAGGGUGAUCGGCCACACUGGAACUGAGACACGGUCCAGACUCCUACGGGAGGCAGGAGUAGGGAAUCUUCCGCAAUGGGCGAAAGCCUGACGGAGCAACGCCGCGUGAGUGAUGAAGGUCUUCGGAUCGUAAAACUCUGUUAUUAGGGAAGAACAUAUGUGUAAGUAACUGUGCACAUCUUGACGGUACCUAAUCAGAAAGCCACGGCUAACUACGUG